This 426-nucleotide ribosomal RNA is filed under the name uncultured bacterium. RNAcentral describes it as "partial 16S ribosomal RNA". It matches the Rfam family "Bacterial small subunit ribosomal RNA", at positions 354 to 796 of the family's 1533-position model. The record is from RNAcentral.
GUGAGGAAUUUUCCGCAAUGGGCGAAAGCCUGACGGAGCAAUGCCGCGUGAAGGAUGAAGGCCUAUGGGUUGUAAACUUCUUUUCUCAGAAAAGAAUUAUGACGGUAUCUGAGGAAUAAGCAUCGGCUAACUCUGUGCCAGCAGCCGCGGUAAGACAGAGGAUGCAAGCGUUAUCCGGAAUGAUUGGGCGUAAAGCGUCUGUAGGUUGUUUAAAAAGUAUUCUGUCAAAGAUUAGGGCUUAACCCUAGAUAGGCAGAAUAAACUUUUAAGCUAGAGACUGGUAGAGGCAGAGGGAAUUCCCGGUGGAGCGGUGAAAUGCGUAGAUAUCGGGAGGAACAACAAAGGCGAAGGCACUCUGCUGGGCCAAUACUAACACUGAGGGACGAAAGCGAGGGGAGCAAAUGGGAUUAGAAACCCCUGUAGUCC